UCUAAUGUCAGGAAAAAAAGAAGGCUGGUUGG
Molecule: non-coding RNA, 32 nt
Filed under: Rattus norvegicus (Norway rat)
Lineage: Eukaryota; Metazoa; Chordata; Mammalia; Rodentia; Muridae
Source: RNAcentral